This 344-nucleotide unclassified non-coding RNA is filed under the name Mortierella alpina. RNAcentral describes it as "sequence contains 5.8S rRNA gene". The stretch from base 1 to 53 matches the Rfam family "5.8S ribosomal RNA", at positions 102 to 154 of the family's 154-position model. The record is from RNAcentral. Lineage: Eukaryota; Fungi; Mortierellomycota; Mortierellomycetes; Mortierellales; Mortierellaceae.
GAACGCAUAUUGCGCUCUCUGGUAUUCCGGAGAGCAUGCUUGUUUGAGUAUCAGUAAACACCUCAACUCCUUUUUCUUUUUUGAAAUUGGAGCUGGACUUGAGUGAUCCCAACGCUUUCUUCCAAGAAAGUGGCGGGUUGCUUGAAAAGCAGGGGCCGCUGAACUUUUCUCUGAGCUAUAAGCAUAUCUAUUUAGUCUGCCUAAAAAACAGAUUAUUACCUUUGCUGCAGCUAACAUAAAGGAGACUAGUUCUUGUGCUGACUGAUGCAGGAUUCACAGAGACAGCUUCGGCUGACUUUGUAAACUCGAUCUCAAAUCAAGUAAGACUACCCGCUGAACUUAAG